Molecule: RNA transcript, 2059 nt
Organism: Magnolia sinica
Lineage: Eukaryota; Viridiplantae; Streptophyta; Magnoliopsida; Magnoliales; Magnoliaceae
Exons: 6
Source: RefSeq, a predicted model, not a curated record
GGAAAGAAAAGAGAGCAUAUUCCUUCGUCGAAAUAACACGGACUUGAAAAUCACGUCAAAACCAAAUUUAAUAAUUUUCCUAAAGUCCUUUAUAGUUCCAUCUCUUUUUUUAUAAUUGCUUUCAAAUUCCGGAUUUUUUUUGCAAAUCUCGAGAGAGCGCAAAGCAGUAGCAAUCGAACGCUGGAAGAUCGAAAAUCUGACAAAGGUUUAAAAAUUCUUGUUGUUCUCAAAAUAUUAUCGUCAUGAGGCUCAGAAAGGGGAGUAAAGUAGAGGUGCUGAGCAAAAAGGAGGUGCCCUCAGGUUCCUGGUGGUGUGGCGAAGUCGUGUAUGGAAAUGGUCACUAUUAUGAUGUUAGGUAUUACCGUCCACUGGGUGACCAAGGCGAGCCAGUUGUUGAAAAGGUGCCUAGGAAGGACAUUAGGCCUCGGCCCCCUGCUCUGGGCUGUGAGGAGAAUUGGGUCGCUGGCGACAUUGCUGAGGUGUUUGAUAAUCACUUGUGGAAAAUUGCGGAAGUCGUGAACGUCGCUGGUGGAAAUUGCUUCUUUGUCAGGCUCCUCGGAUCUUCCCGAGAAUUCAGAGUCAACAAGUCUCACCUCAGGGUGCGGCAAUCAUGGAAGGACGGCCAAUGGGUCAUAAUUGGGAAGGAUUCGAGAAGCGGUGAAGAUAGAGACGCUAAUGAGCUGUCACUAGCACAGUAUUAUCAGAAGCCUAGCUGCCGAGUGCCACUGCCGGAUGUAAGGAUGAAAGUUCGAGCUGGAGGCAACCAUUUCCAGGAGCUCCCCACUAGAGGCGUGAAGAGAAAUUCACAGAGUUGCUUGUCCCAUGCUGAAACACAUGUUGGAGUUGGUCGAAAAAUCAGAGCGGUUGAGAAAGAGGGUCAAUGUCAGCGACUUCUUCCAGCGCUUCCUGCCCCAUUUCUGGAAAAGGGCCGAAGUUUGAUGCUUGUGCACCUCGCUUCCAAAGGCCUAAGAUUGGUGGGCUUAGUCACCUUUUUUCACUGUAGACUUGGUAAUAUUUGCCUCUGAUUCCCCAAAAGAAGCCAAUGGGAUUUUAAUUGUUCUGUGAGCAUGCGAUGCAUUCUGUGCUGAAUUCAGUGAAAGCAGAAACUUGUAAAAGUUCUGCUAUCAAGUUUCUGAGAUGUUGAUGCUUGAAAGAUAUUGGGGAAGACGGGAACCUGCUGAUGUCGAACAAAAAGGAUGGUCCCGUUCAUGUUAUGGGCCUCGUGGUUUGUACCUGCUCAAGACCUGCUCAAGACCUUUCUGUCACUAGUCAAGGUUCAGAAUUUUCCAUCAAAUUGGUGCCCUUCAAGGUGCUGGUGGAAAGAACCCUAUCUUACUAGUUGGGUGUUUGUGAGGCUGGGAUCAAUGUGCAUUCUUCGUCAUUUUUUGGGAAGGUAUAACAUAGUAUUGAUCAUUUGUGAUUGGCAUGCAGUGAUUGCCAAGGACAGUGGGAAAGGUUGCCACCUACUUGGUCUCCUUCCCCGACAGGUUGUGGGAAGCUUAAUUUUCAGUGGUUUCUCAGAUGGGAACUUGGGCCAGGCAGGAAACAAUGAGUGGUGAGGAGGAUGUCAGGCAUCAUUUUCUACAGCACAUGGAUUGAUUGACCAGGCAGAGGCAUUGGCUCUUGCCCCUUCACUAUGAAUUGAGAAAUUAGAGAAGCUCCUUUUUAAGGCGCCUUGUUGAUGUAUAAUGUUUUUCCUGUGGUUUCCUCAAGUGGUUAUCCUCCCCAGAAGCAGUCUUUUGAAGCAUGUGUAGCUUUUUUUUUUUUUGCUUUUUGGGGCCCAUUUCGACACACCCUCCAAAGCAGUAUUUGAUGCAUAAACACCAAAUUUAGGCAGACCUGUUUGUGUUGUGUUCGGAUGCAUUGCUACAGAGUCUGGUUUUCCAACUCAUUAAAGCGGCUCACUUGUGAAAAGCCAAUCUGACUCCCUCCUCUCUGGAAGUUCAACCAAACGAUCUGAUUGUUUUAAUGAAAUUCUGAGCAUCUUUCAAAACUCAAAGGAACAGAAAUAUUGCCAGUCUCUACCAGUGAAUAGUUGAUGUAAUUGUAUGGUCUGUAA